AUGGGGAUCAACGAGGGCAAUACAAUCAUCGACAACCAUGGGAUGAUGACUAUCCAUAUGCCUGCUUACUAUAAUUCUAUCAUCAGGGGCGUAUCUACUAUUAUGGUCUCGUUCAAUAGUUGGAAUGGAACGAAAAUGCACGCCAACCAUUACAUAAUCACAGAUUUUCUCAAGAACAAACUCAAAUUUUGGGGUUUCGUGAUUUCAGACUGGCAAGGCAUUGAUAAGAUUACGACUCCCCCACACUUGAACUAUUCCUAUUCAAUUGAGGCCGGAAUUGGUGCUGGUAUUGACAUGAUCAUGGUUCCUUUUGGCUACACAGAAUUCAUUGAUGAUCUGACAUCCCAAGUUGAGAAAAACAUUAUCCCUAUGAGCAGAAUCGACGAUGCUGUCUACAGGAUUCUUCGGGUCAAGUUUACCAUGGGUCUAUUUGAGAACCCUUAUGCUGAUCGAAGUCUUGUUGGUGAACUCGGGAAGCAUGAACACCGAGAACUCGCUAGGGAAGCCGUCAGGAAAUCAUUGGUGUUGCUGAAAAAUGGAAAAUAUGCAUCCACCCCAUUGUUGCCUCUCCCAAAGAAGGCUGGUAAGAUACUUGUAGCCGGGAGCCACGCCGACAACUUGGGCAACCAGUGUGGAGGAUGGACAAUCGAAUGGCAAGGAGACACCGGCAACGAUAAAACUGUUGGGACGACGAUCCUUUCGGCGAUCAAUUCAACCGUCGACCCUAGCACACGAGUGGUCUUCUCUGUUAACCCAGAUAGCACUGUUGUGGAAAAUGGCAAGUACGAUUAUGCCAUCGUGGUGGUGGGUGAGCCACCCUAUGCCGAGACAUUCGGCGACAACCUGAACUUGACGAUCCCUGCCCCCGGCCCCUCGGUGAAACAGACUGUCUGCAAGAAGAUCAACUGUGUGGUGGUGCUCAUCUCCGGUAGACCGCUGGUGGUGGAACCCUACAUCGGUGCCAUGGAUGCGUUAGUCGCCGCCUGGCUACCCGGCACGGAAGGCCAAGGCAUCGCCGACGUGCUCUUCGGCAACUACGGGUUCUCUGGGAAGCUGGCGAGGACAUGGUUCAAGUCGGUGGACCAGCUGCCAAUGAACGUUGGGGACAAGCACUAUGACCCGUUGUUCCCCUUCGGGUUUGGCCUCACCACAAAGGCAAAAAAGUGA
Molecule: ribosomal RNA, 1167 nt
Filed under: Triticum aestivum (bread wheat)
Lineage: Eukaryota; Viridiplantae; Streptophyta; Magnoliopsida; Poales; Poaceae
Description: partial small subunit ribosomal RNA
Source: RNAcentral